AACGAACGCUGGCGGCAGGCCUAACACAUGCAAGUCGAGCGCCCGUCCUUCAGAGAUCAGAAAUACAGAGAUCAGAAAUACAGAAAAGUACGCAACGGUCAAACGACCACGGAGACCUUCUGAUACCUGAUGUCUGAUAUCUGAUUUCUGAUGGGCGGGAGCGGCGGACGGGUGAAUAACACGUGGGAAUAUGCCUUUCGGUAACGGAAUAACGCAGGGAAACUGCGCUAAUACCGUAUACGCCCUCAGGGGGAAAGA
RNAcentral lists this ribosomal RNA (258 nucleotides) under uncultured bacterium. Its description in RNAcentral is "partial 16S ribosomal RNA". It matches the Rfam family "Bacterial small subunit ribosomal RNA", at positions 29 to 207 of the family's 1533-position model. The record is from RNAcentral.